AGGUAAGCUACUAAGAGCGAAUGGUGGAUGCCUUGACUGGUAAAGGCGAUGAAGGACGUACUAGACUGCGAUAAGCUACGGGGAGCUGUCAAGAAGCUUUGAUCCGUAGAUUUCCGAAUGGGGCAACCCAAUGUAUAGAGAUAUACAUUACCUAUAUAGGAGCGAACGAGGGGAAUUGAAACAUCUUAGUACCCUCAGGAAAAGAAAUCAAUAGAGAUUGCGUCAGUAGCGGCGAGCGAAAGCGCAAGAGGGCAAACCCAGUGCUUGCACUGGGGGUUGUAGGACUGCAAUGUGCAAGAGGUAAGUUUAGCAGAACAUUCUGGAAAGUAUAACCAUAGAGGGUGAUAGUCCCGUAUGCGAAAAACAAACCUUAGCUAGCAGUAUCCUGAGUAGGGCGGGACACGAGGAAUCCUGUCUGAAUCCGGGUCGACCACGAUCCAACCCUAAAUACUAAUACCAGAUCGAUAGUGCACAAGUACCGUGAGGGAAAGGUGAAAAGAACUGAGGUGAUCAGAGUGAAAUAGAACCUGAAACCAUUUGCUUACAAUCAUUCAGAGCCCUAUGUAGCAAUACAGGGUGAUGGACUGCCUUUUGCAUAAUGAGCCUGCGAGUUGUGGUGUCUGGCAAGGUUAAGCAAACGCGAAGCCGUAGCGAAAGCGAGUCUGAAUAGGGCGCUUAGUCAGAUGCUGCAGACCCGAAACGAAGUGAUCUAUCCAUGAGCAAGUUGAAGCUAGUGUAAGAACUAGUGGAGGACUGAACCCAUAGGCGUUGAAAAGCCCCGGGAUGACUUGUGGAUAGGGGUGAAAGGCCAAUCAAACUUCGUGAUAGCUGGUUCUCUCCGAAAUAUAUUUAGGUAUAGCGUUGUGUCGUAAUAUAAGGGGGUAGAGCACUGAAUGGGCUAGGGCAUACACCAAUGUACCAAACCCUAUCAAACUCCGAAUACCUUAUAUGUAAUCACAGCAGUCAGGCGGCGAGUGAUAAAAUCCGUCGUCAAGAGGGAAACAACCCAGACUACCAGCUAAGGUCCCUAAAUCUUACUUAAGUGGAAAACGAUGUGAAGUUACUUAAACAACCAGGAGGUUGGCUUAGAAGCAGCCAUCCUUUAAAGAAAGCGUAAUAGCUCACUGGUCUAGUGAUUUUGCGCGGAAAAUAUAACGGGGCUAAAGUAAGUACCGAAGCUGUAGACUUAGUUUACUAAGUGGUAGGAGAGCGUUCUAUUUGCGUCGAAGGUAUACCGGUAAGGAGUGCUGGAGCGAAUAGAAGUGAGCAUGCAGGCAUGAGUAGCGAUAAUUAAUGUGAGAAUCAUUAACGCCGUAAACCCAAGGUUUCCUACGCGAUGCUCGUCAUCGUAGGGUUAGUCGGGUCCUAAGUCGAGUCCGAAAGGGGUAGACGAUGGCAAAUUGGUUAAUAUUCCAAUACCAACAUUAGUGUGCGAUGGAAGGACGCUUAGGGCUAAGGGGGCUAGCGGAUGGAAGUGCUAGUCUAAGGUCGUAGGAGGUUAUACAGGCAAAUCCGUAUAACAAUACUCCGAGAACUGAAAGGCUUUUUGAAGUCUUCGGAUGGAUAGAAGAACCCCUGAUGCCGUCGAGCCAAGAAAAGUUUCUAAGUUUAGCUAAUGUUGCCCGUAC
RNAcentral lists this ribosomal RNA (1628 nucleotides) under Campylobacter jejuni. RNAcentral describes it as "partial 23S ribosomal RNA". It matches the Rfam family "Bacterial large subunit ribosomal RNA", at positions 1 to 1647 of the family's 2925-position model. The record is from RNAcentral. Lineage: Bacteria; Pseudomonadati; Campylobacterota; Epsilonproteobacteria; Campylobacterales; Campylobacteraceae.